This is a long non-coding RNA of Equus caballus (horse), 9882 nucleotides long. RefSeq lists it as uncharacterized. NCBI's taxonomy places the organism in Eukaryota, Metazoa, Chordata, Mammalia, Perissodactyla, Equidae. The record is from RefSeq and is a predicted model, not a curated record.
GAUCUGAAUACACAUUUUCCAAAGAAGACAUCCAGAUGGCCAACAGAAACAUGAAAAGAUGUUCAACAUCACUAAUUAUUGGGGAAAUGCAAAUCAAAACUACAAUGAGGAGACAAAAACAUACAGACCAUAGCAGAAGACAAGGGUCUAUGUUAAGUUCAAGAUUAUGUCAAUGCCAAGAUCAAGGUCAAAUUCCCAAUCAGUGAAAGAAAUGGUCAGGGUGAUAUUCCUGUGGUCCUAAAAAAAGGUCAGGGUUUGGGGUUGGUCACACCAAGUGUGAGAUCAAGUUCAAGGUCAAAAUUAUAUUAUCAGUCAGUGAUAAAGAUGGUCACGAUGAUAGAAUCAAAGUUUAAGGGUAGAAAACGUUCUAAUGAAAGGUCAACGUGAAAGCAAAGUUUAAGACAAAGUUAAAAAUCAUGAUUAAGUUCAAAUUCUCAGAGAUAAAAUGAACAGAAUGAUAGACAAAGAUAGGAUUUGUUCAUAGUUAAGGUCAACAUAAAGGUCAUGUGCAAAGUCAAACCAGGGUCGAUUAAGGUCAAAUUAUCUGUCAAUGAUAGAAAAUGUCAGGAUGGUAGACAAGGACAGGAUGUAGGGUAAUAGGUUCAAGCUCAAAUUAAAAGUGAGGUAAUGGUCAACUUCAGGUAAAUUCAAGGUCAUAGUAAAGGUCAAGUCAGGUUCAAAUUUGAUUUCAGUGAUAGACAUUGAUAGGAUAAUCAAAGGUGGAAUAUUGUGAAUCAGUGUCAAGAUCAAGUUCAAGGACAAAGGAUAUGGACAAACUGAUGUCAAAGGAAAUGUCAAGAUCCUGUCAAGUUUCAAAUGACUGGUUUGUAAUAGAAAAACAAAAACCAAAAGGACAGAACAGAGACUAAAAAUGAUCAGUGUCAACUUCAAGGUAAAAAUCAAGAUCAAAUUAUCAGUGAGGGAUAGAUCAGAAAGUCCCAUACAUAAUAUGCAUCUGAAAAAGGUCAAGGUCACCUUCAAGGUCAAGAUCAAAGUACCAAGUUUAGGACAAAUUCUCAUUAAGAAAGUCAGUGGCAGUAUUUUGAUUAUCAGGGUCAAGGUAAAAGCUAAAUUCAAGUUCGAGAUCAAGAUAAAGUUCAUGGUCUAAAAGACCUCCAUAGACAUAUGAGGUCAAGGUCGUGGUCAAAUUUUCAGUCAGUGAUAAAAAAGGUCAGAUAAUAGGGACAGGAUAAGGGACUGAAAGUACCAAGGUAAAAGGCGGUACUCACUUUCAAGGACAAUAUCAAGGUUAAAAUCAAGGUCAAAUUUUGAGGGUUAGGGUCAAGAUGAGAAUUAAAGUUAGAGGAUCAGGGUCAGGGUCAGAUAAGGAUAAAGUUAGAUUUAGUGUUAUGGUUUGGGAUAGAUGUUAGGGUUGGAAUAAGUAUUAGGAGCAGGGAUGCGGUCAGGGUACAGUGCUGGGGUUGGGUCUGGUUUGGGUAUAUGUUCAUUCGUGUUCAUGUUCUUGUUUGUUGUUGGAUUUGAAUUCAGGCUCAGGCUCAGGCCAGGAGUUGGGAGAGUGUAUAACAUGCAGAAGAGACUGGUGAACACAGUAGUAUUUGACUGAAAUAACACUAUCUGCAUUUAUUUGUGCACCUAGCAGUCUUCUAACAUGUUUUUUACAUGUGUCUUUAGAGAGUACACAAUACGCACCCCAUAGACGUAAAUACAGUGUUCCACUGAAGUAACACUUUCCUGAUUCCUUCAUGCAACUAGAAUUUUUAGAUCCAUCUUUUACACAUUUCUUUACAGAGCUUAGAUCAUGCAGCACAGUCUUUCACAGAGAACGAACACAGUCUUUCAAUGAAAAAACACUAUCCUGAUUCUUUCAUGCAAGCAGCUCUUCAGAAGCUUUUAUGUGUGUCUUUAGAGUGUAUAAUGUGCAGCACAGUCUAAUGUGAACACAGUAUUUCACUGAAAGAACACUAUCCUUGUUCUUUCAGGUGACUAGAACUGUUUUAGAAACAUCUUUCCUAGAUGUGUCUCUAGGGAGCUAUAAUGUAAUGUGCAGCACAGGGUACUGGACACAGUGUUUCACAGGAAUAAGAUUCAUGGACUCAGCCAUUGCCUUGGAAAUGACUCUUAUGCAUUUGUCUUUAGAGUGUAUAACAUGUAGCAGAAAAUGAUGAACACAGAGUUUCACAGAAAUAACACUGUCCUCAUUUGUGUAACUGGUACUCUUAGAAGCAUCUUUUAGACUGCGUCUUUAGAGUGUGUACUACAUGCAGCACAGAUUUGUGAAAACGGAGUUUCAAAGAAAAAACACUAUCUUAAUUCUUUUGUGUAACUAGCAUCUUUACAAAGAUCUUUUGUAGUCCAAACUGGGGGAUGAAAGUCCUUUAACACCUGACCCCAUCACACAGAGUCCACGUACACUCUAGUCCCAAGGAAACAAGAUCCAUGGGGCUUCAGGUCCCUUGGACCUGCUCUUGGCCACUGCUUUAGGAAGCAGGCCAGGUGGAUGGGAAAAAACGGAUGCGCACACGCACGUGCGCGCACGCACACACACUCACACUCACUCAUCCUAGGGGCCUGUAGGUCUUCCCACCAGGGCCUGGCAGCAAGGGGAGCAGACAACAUCCUAGGAGACAGUUGCUGCCAGUUCCUGGCUCAUCCCCCUCCCCCAAGGCCAGCCUCAGGGCAGCACUCUCACUUCUUGGCCCAGCCCAGGUGCUGCCUCCACCAGAACAGUUCUCUUCUUUUUCAUGCUGGGGGUGCAGUAUGGGUGGAGGGUCCAGGUCUGGGUGGGUAGACUGGAGCUGGAGUACGGAGGACCACUGCAGGGCUUCACUGGAGCCAGGUGGGCCAGUUAAGUUGGGGUGAAGGAGGGGCGCUGGCUGCGCCAAGGGCCUAGGGCUGGAGGUAGCCAGGAGGCCUUGGGCCUGGGAUGUUCUUGGGACGCCCAGCCGAGGGCCCCACUGACAACAGCCGUACCAACCUGAAUGUGGCCAGUCUUCUCUGCCACCAGAAGACGGGAGCAGGCUCCCUCCAAACAUCAUCUGCCCUCCGACUCCUGGACAUUACAGUCCCUGUCACCCUCAGCUGCCCAGGACCUCUUAUUGCACUGGCACAGUGGCAUCCAGCCCUGCAAUCUCGCGGCAGUGGGACGCGCUGGCAGAGGGGCAUCAGCGUGUCCUGGUCGACCCCCGUGGGUGGCUCCACACCCCGCCGUGCACCUGCACGUCCAUCUCCGGCGACUGGGUGACGCGCCGACGCCCUGGCACUGGCGGGACGAUCCUGCCAGCGCCGCUAGCUUCCUAGGACUUCGCCUCCAUCACAGCCGCCAAGCGCUUGUUGGUUUCCGGGGGCUCCGGAGAAAAACUACGUAAAAGUUUCCGCCAGGUGGCGCCUGACAACUGGUGCGAACGUCUCCGGGACGGACCGGGGUUGCCUGCUGUUGUGGACACGCCGCCGGCCGCCCGUCCAAACGCCCGACCUCGGAGCGCCGUCUCUCGUCCCGGGGCAAACGCAGGGCGUCCCCCUCGGGGCUCUUGGCCGGCGCGGCGCGACCCCAGCAGCAGAAAGGGGACUUGGAAAUGUUCUCAGGAUGUCCCUUGAACCACUGUUCCCCUCCAGGGACGGCUGCUGGGAGCGGACAGGCUCCGGACUCUGGAGAGGACGCGGGAAUGUCCUGGAGACGCGCCCAGGCAGGGGGCCCUGCUGGGCCUCCCAGAGCGGUACCGGGCUCCCCGCGGACGUAGAAAAGUCUGCAGGACUCGGGCAGGCGUGGACUGUAAACCCGAAACCGUGAAGGUACUCGUAGAAACAUGGACGAAUCAUUUUAAUUCUGUGAUUUCAGAGCGGAGAAGGUCUUUCUAAAGCAUAAAACAAAGCCCAGAAGCCGUAAAGAAAAUGCCUCCGGGAGGGGCUCACGCCAUCCUCAGAGUCACUGAGCGCGCUGGGAGGCCGUGGCAAUUCACGCCUCGGUGGUCCAGAACACUGGCUGCCGCCCCGACCUAUGGCAAAGCAGACCUCUCCAUGGACCGGGACGGCUGACCCGUUGAAUGAAAUGGUCUUCCCAGCUCUCCUCUGGGCCAAAGGAAGAAACGGCCCUUAGACCCGGAACCCAAGGUACAAUCCCGAGUCAAUAGUAUGCAGCUGGGUCUCGGGCCCUUUGGGUCAGCUCAUCACCGCUUCUCAAGAAAGAGUGAGGUGCCUAAAGUCCAUGGGCGUUACUGCAGAAAGGGGAGAAAGAGUGACCAAAACCCACAAGGACACAGCAUACCCCCGCCUCUCCCGCCCCCCUCGCCCUGGGUCAACUGCUCCUCACCGGGCCCAGCCGUGAGGGGAGGAGAAAACGUCUCAACAGAUCAUCUCUCCUGCCUCCUGGUUCCUCUGGCCUGUUGCCUGGGUCAUUCAGAUUCUGGGGGUUUCUUGAUGUGACUGUGGGGGUGUGAGAGCUUGGAGCUUCCUAGUCUGCCAUUUUGCUGACCAGUACCUGACAUUUUAUUCUGUCUGCUACAUUCCUCCUCCUCAGUACUCAGUCAAAAUUAAGGAAACAAUACUCUCCAGACAUUGCGUCCAGUUUUCAAAUGUGAACAAGGUUUAAUAAGACAGAGGGAAACAGUGGUUUGAACAAAUUUGGGAAGGGAUUGCUAAGAGAAUUUUAUCUUUUUUGGAAUGUAUCAAAAUGUUCAAGUGCAUUCCAUGAAAACUUUAGUAUGUUUAAAAGUAGACAAAGAAAUGACUCCUCAUUGCUCCCUCUGGCCCAACCCUCUCUCUUCUCCUACCUGACGCUGCGCAGCCUCCACUUUGGCAUCUGUCACCAUGGGUUGCUUGAACUCACCUGAUGAGAUACCUGCCUCCGGCUGUCCUGUGCACGGCUGUUUGCACUCGUCUCUAUCCUCGCGUUCACUGGAGGCCCGAGCCCAUUGCUCAGUUAGAGAGUGGAAGCCUUUCCCCACGGAGGCCAAGGGGCGGAUGAGAAAAUCACAGUCUUUUACAUUUCUUCUCUGCAAGAACAUCCUUAAUGGAGAACAGGAUAAAUGAAUCAGUUAGUGGAAAUGUAAGGAAGGAGGUAAUUUCUUGAUUAAUCCCUAGUCUGCCCUAUGCCUGACGGGGUCUUGGUGAAAUGUAACUGGAACUGAUAUUUCCUGGGUGCACUUAGAGGAUCCGAGCCAAGAGGAGAAACCUGCCCGACUGGCAAAGACUAUCAAUUCGGUAGUAAGAACAAUCCCCUACUCACUUGCGUGUCAUUGUCAGGAACUCAGCCACCACCUGUCUUCCUCUGUGUUCUCAUUGAGGGACAGUCUGAACACUAAGCAGAUAAAACUGAGGAAAGAGAGAAAAGCUAUGAGAAUCCAGUCUUUUAAAAUAUUGCUGGAGACACCAGUCUUGAAUCCCCAGACACACACCUGCCAGCGACCCUGCCCAACCUGUGUACUUGCAGGGGGACCUAAGACAAACGAGGGAGCCCUCUCCUCUCCCAGGGCUGAAGGUACUAAGGCUUGGAUACUGCUGAUCAUAAGGAAGAUAGUAAUAGUCCCAUUUUGUAGAUAACAAAAUAAAAAUCGUGGGGUUUUAUACUUUAAUUACACCUUCUAUUUAGAGUUAUUAUUUAAUUAAUAUUUAAUUCCUUGGAUUAAUACCAACUCCUAGGAAACCCUCGUAACUAUCACCUGAGGAUUCUUGUCUCCACAGCAAGGACACCACUCUGGAAUUUCUGAGUUAUUAAUUCUUGGUUAGGUGCACACACAUUACUUCUCUAAUACCAAUCCCAGCCCUUUAGAGCUUCCACCCUCCCUGCUGUACCCUGCCCCCCACUCUCUGGACACACUUGUCCUCAAACAUUUGGUCUCCUCUGCAGGUGGGAUUCAGGCAACAUCAGGACAUUGACCCUGACUCUGCCCCACGUGACCUUGUACAUGUGGCAGGCUACUUUGGAAUCUCUUUAAUGGUGGACGGGACAAUCCAAGGACUCACAUCUUAUUGGUCUUGUUCAAUGACUCUCAUCAUGCAUGUCAGGCACUAAAAACCCCUUGCACAGGCAGGGAGCAGGAGUACACGUGUUAUAAGUCUGCUGUCGUGUCCCACAAUCCCCACACAACAGAUAGGCUCAGCAAAUGCUGAGUGCAGGAGUUUAAUUUGGGGAGAAAUCGAGUUGACUUCUUCAGAUAUCUUAGUGAAAUGGUAUCUGGAAUUCUGUCUUAAUAAUUAUCAUCAGCAGGAUCAUUUCACAAUUUAUGUAUAUGAAAGCAUUUGUCGCCUCCAAAGUAUUACCUAAAUCAAUGUUAAUAAUUCAGUGUACAGUCUGGACAAAUAAUGCAAUGUGUCAGGAACGGAGGUGGAUUACAACCCUUUGAUCCUGAGUUCCUGAAAAGAGAAACCAUUUCUGGUAGUAUGAAUUGAAACCCUGUGGGUGGGAAAUACAUAUACUGGCUUAUAUAAUCCUAUUUCCCUGAUGUUUAUGGACUUGUUGUCUGCUUAACAAGUGAAGCGAACUGUGUUCAGAGACUUUAGUAAUACAACAAAAUUCCAUGCUAGAAAAUGACAGAACGAGAAUGUAAAUUUAGCUCUGUUGUCUCUGAAUCUCAAAUUCCUAAACUUGCUUGUCUUGGGGGAUAUAUCCCAGACCGAAGUUUUACCUGGAUGGCCCCUCAGAUGAAUGAUCUGAGACUCUUAUCUCUUAGCAUGCCCCUUCUCCUUUCAGCAAGUUCACACAAUUACUCCCUGUGUUAAGUUUCUCCUAAUUCAGAGGAACUUUCAGUGCAUUGACCCCAAUUCCCAAACGUCAGCCCCUCCUCUCUUCAGUUUUGCAGAUGUUUCACCUGCAUGUUCUCAUUUCAACAUAUACACACCAGGAGCAAACAUUAUCCAUCCCUCCAACCUUUCACCACAUCUGGUGAUCAAGACCUCAGUCCCAGAUGACUCCAAAUACUGUAUUGCCCUUUCCAUGCCUGCAUCUGUCACAGGACAUGGCAUGUCACAGACACUGACCAGGUCUAAUUACAGAGUCACCAAUCUCCCAGUGGCUUUCCAAAUUAUCAAGUGUCCUUCUAUGCUUUGGUACUUAAUUAAUCUUUCCACGCUUCAUAAAUAUUUCAGACUUUCACCAAGCCUUUCAAAUAUAAAAAUUCCUCACCUGUCCUCUCAGUUUCCACAAAUGGGAUCAUCUUCUGCUGCACUGAUGAAUUUGAUGAUUUGAAGUAAUACUUCAGCUCACUGCCAUGAAGUCUACAAAUAUCCCUGCAUUCUUACCAUUAGUGACUCGUCUCCUGAUUCAAUUGAAAAGUUAUCUUGAUCCUUGGUUUAGUCCAGUUGUAUCCCUUCCUUUCCUGCUUUCUAGAGAAAUUUUAUUAUUGAUUAUAAACGUCAUGUUCUUUACUAGUAACCACCCCACCCCUCCUCCAUCAAACCCCUUUAACUCAUUCUGUCUCUUCAUUACUAAAACAAAAACCUCUCCUGAGCCAAUUUCUCUCUUGUUCUUGCCCCAUGACUUCCUUCCCCUUCACAAUGAACCUGAACGAUCAGUACUCAUGGAAUUACAGUCUUCUCAUUCCCUGACUCCUCAGACUUACUAAGAUCGCCAACGAUCUGUAUGUAAAUAAAUCUUGAUAAGAUCACAGUUAUCUGCCCAUCAUUAAGUCCAAGGAGUGUUUCUGUGUUUUUAUCUUGGAACAAAAGCAGAAUUGGAACAUGAUCUCCUUUUUGGGUGAUUACUUGUCCUAGGCUUCUUGACAUCUCAGGCUCCUGAUUGCUUGUAAAUAUGACCACACCCCCCUGGUGUUUUUCCCAGGUCCUUUUCACACAACACUAUUGGGACAACUCAGGACUCAAUUCUAGCUUUGUUUUCUCUGAUUACUUUAUACUGUCUUGGAACUCUUAUGCAUUUCCUCCAUUGUUUCAAUUUCUUCUAUUGUUAUCUCAAUGAUGACAAUGUCUAAAACCACGUCCAGAUUUCAUUUCUGAUAUAUAAUCCCUGCACGUGUAUGUUUUAGGCCCCUAAAUAAAACUUGUCUCUACUGAAGCCAUUAACUCCCCACUCACCAACUAAAUACUCCUUCUCCUCUUAGUCUCCGGUCUCAUAUGAUAGCUCCAGUCGCUAUCCAGGGAGUAACGUUUAACACAAGCUCUCAGAUCACAUAAACAAAACCAAGCAGUGCUGUUGUCAGUACACUGAGCGCCACUGUCAUCCCUCAUUUCCACACCAGAAUCCAGACUUGUAUUCCCACCCUAUACUCAGUUUCAGUUUAAAAUGUCAAUUCUGCAGAGAUCCCCUUUUAAACUACUACUGGAGUAAGCAUUUUCUCCGCCUCUUAUCUUGAAUAGAACUUGACUUUUCCUUUAGGCCACUGUGAAAUAAGUUAAGACGUGUUCUUUUGAUUUAAUAUGAUGUAACCUUUGAAAUUGUUUCAAAUAAUUGUAAAAUGAUUAUAAUCACAUUGGAUCUUUGAAAAGUGAGAUAUAAAAGUAUAGAGUAUAAUCUUUAUUUUAUAAAAACAAAUGCAUGUUUACCUCACAUGGGAAAGUUGAUUCUCUGGGACAUGCAACAGCAGUUAUACCUGUGCUGAGAUUAUGAGGCAUAUGGUGUGUUCUCAUCAAACAGCAGUGUUUCUGCCAGGAACCUAGUAGAUUUGUUUUUCCCUUGUUUGAACUGACAGUUAGAUGCUUUGCAUGCUUUAAGUAAGGAACUCAAGCUUUAACAUGUCUUCUCUGUCUCUCUCUCUGGGUUAUCUUGUUUUGGUUUUGAUGGGGUAAGGGGAGUAAGGAGAACAUGCCCGAGGAAUCCCCUUGUUGAGUGGACGCGUAUGGUCUUGGUGAAAGCCCUCAUCCAGUGGAGCUCCUAGAGAUGUGGCCAACAGGCACUAAUUCCCUUUCGGUGCCUGACAAAGCAGGAUUGACCUCCCUCUGCUGUUGGUUCUGUUUUGUUUGAUAUUAUGUCUGGUAUUUUUCAAGCCAAAAACUUGUGUCAAAAGGAAAGUUCCGGAAAUGCUUCCAAGGAUGAUGAUGAGAAUUUGAUUUCGAAGUGACUAUUCCCGGCAUUUGAUGAAACUUCUUCAUCAUUAAUCACCAUCUGGAUUGUUCUGGAUCCGUUCCAUCAUUUCACAGUGAUAGUGCCAUCCUCUACAUUCCUUACCAAAAAUUAUUCUUUUGUUUAGAAGCCACUAGUGUGUUAUUACUUUAUCAUCUUAAAAAAAAAAUUCAUGUUUCUGGGAUUUUGUUUUUGUUUUGGAGUUUUUUAAAGCAGCUAGGUGUUUUUGAGCUGAAAAUGAAAAGUAUUUAUUAUGGAAAUCCUCUUGAUGUACCCAUAAGGAUGAAACAGGUCAGACUGUUUGUUAUAAGCUAUGAAAAUUCUAGAAGGUUUUCCUCUGAUGUGACCUGUAAAAUUUUCCCUUUCAACAAAGAUUUUCUUUCUUUGUGUUCUGUAGCUUAUUUUAAAAGACCCGCUGGGGCAUGUCCAGUGAGAUAGUUCUGUUGGAGUGAGGAUAGUGCUGCAUACAACCUGUGCUUCAUACCGUCUGGGCCUUACCGUACUCUGCACAAAAGGCCAAGGGCUGGCCUUUUGAAGACAGGGCUAUUUUUGCAUUAUGAGUUCUGAGAUGCUGAAAAGACCUUCUGUGGCUUUCCUUAUAUCCUAAAUUUCACAAUUAGAAACUUAUUCUUUUAAAUCUUGAAGACCUUUCACCAUGAGUUUCUGUUAAAAGAUGACUAUCUAGGAUGGAAAGCAGCUGUCAUUCAGAAUCUUACCAGAGUUUCCUGCCAGCCUCCUUGGAGGAUGGAGCAGAAUAACCUGGUGGGGGAAGGGCUCAUGACUGCUAGGCCUUGGGGAAAAGCUAGGGGGGAAGUUCUUUUACCAGGGACUUUCCAUGCUGGGCCUGGAUUGCAGUGACAGCAGCUGAAAGCAACUUAAAUGAUUUUAAUUUGAAUACAGCUUUGUACAACUUC